AACAGAGCGAGGCCAGCUGGGGACGCAGGCAGCGGAGGUCAGCAGGGAAGAUGCAGGCCCAACCAGCUCUGAGACCCAGGCAAGGAACUGAAACUCAGAGAGGUGCAGUGAUGCACCCAAGACCACACAGCCAAGAACCCAGGCCAGCCUGAGCUAGUGGAACCAGCAGACUUUCCAAGGCUCCUCCCUGGAAGACGAUGUCCCGUCACCUGCAGACCUCCAGUAACAGGGCUCUCAGCGCCCACCUAAAGCUACUGGUUCUCCUUUUUUUUUUCCUUUUCUUUGCUCACUGCCGCCUCUGCCUCCCAGGUUCAAGUGAUUCUCCUGCCUCAGCCUCCUGAGUAGCUGGGACUACAGGUGCAUGCCGCCACGCCCAGCUAAUUUUUGUAUUUUUAGUAGAGACGGGGUUUCACCACGUUGGCCAGGAUGGUCUCCAUCUCUUGACCUUGUGAUCCGCCCGCCUCGGCCUCCCAAAGUACUGGGAUUAUAGGCGUGAGCCACCACGCUGGCCUUUUUUUUUUUUUUUUUUUUUAAAAACAGACUCUAGCUAGCUCUGUCACCCAGGCUGGAGUGCAGUGGCACGAUCUCGGCUCACUGCAACCUCUGCCUCUAGGGCUCAAGCAAUUCUCGUGUCUCAGCCUCCCAAGUAGCUGGGACCAUAGGCGCAUGCCACGACGCCCAGCUAAUUGUUUUGUAUUUUUGGUAGAGAUGGGGUUUCACCACGUUGCCCAGGCUGGUCUUGAACUCCUCAGCUCAAGCGAUCCACCCGCCCACGACUACCAAAGUGCUGGGAUUACACCCAGCCACCGUACCUGGCCCUGAUUCCCUUCUUGAACAGCUCUGAUUACUAGAAAUUUCUUCUUCUAUUACAAAGCCAAGUCUGGUUCCUUGUGCUUCUGUUCAUGGGUGCCACCUUGCUCUCUGGAGCCACUAGGGACGAGGCCAGUACCCCAUAAAGACCCUUCUGACAUCUCCUGGUCUGUUAUCACUCUGCUUAUCCAAGCUAAACAGCACCACGUCCUCUACCUGCUCUUCCUUCGCUGUGGUGUCAAGUCCCUCCUGCCCUUGGGUACAGCUGCCCGGGUCAUGCUUGCUGUCAAGGUCCCUCUUACAACGUGUCGCCUGGAGCCAAGCACCAGUGCCGAUGCGUUCAGAGCAGGAUCAGCUCCAGAAGCCUCCACCUCCCUCGGCUGGGCUCCCUGCUUCUGUUCAUGCGGUG
This 1219-nucleotide long non-coding RNA is filed under the name Homo sapiens (human). RNAcentral describes it as "non-protein coding lnc-CYTH4-5:2". The record is from RNAcentral. Lineage: Eukaryota; Metazoa; Chordata; Mammalia; Primates; Hominidae.